GGUUUGUACUGCAGAUAAACCUGCCGACGUAAUAGGCAAUCGAGCGAUAGAGCUUGCUCCUCUGUCGUUAUCGGGGACGGGUGAGUAAGCGUUAUAACUACCUAUAGACUGGGAUAACUCGGACCAAUAAUACGAAUUAUAUUAUCGCAUGGUUCAAUAGUAACGGUUGCGUCACUAUAAUGGAGACGCCGCGCUUAGCUAGUGGUAAGGUACGGCUUACCAAGCAACAAAUGCGUACGACCUGAGAGGGUGUCGCCCGCUGGAACUGAUGGCUCGGUCCAGACUCCUACGGGAGGCACAGUAGGGAAUCUCCCAAUGGCGAAAGCCUGGCGCACAACGUCGCGUGAGUGAUGAAGGUCUUCGGACGUAAAUCUGUUAUUAGGGAAGAACAAAUGUGUAAGUAUCUAUGCACGUCUUUCGGUACCUAUGGACUCGGAAGGGUUUAAAU
Molecule: ribosomal RNA, 448 nt
Filed under: uncultured Staphylococcus sp.
Lineage: Bacteria; Bacillati; Bacillota; Bacilli; Caryophanales; Staphylococcaceae
Description: bacterial SSU rRNA
Rfam family: Bacterial small subunit ribosomal RNA
Source: RNAcentral